Long non-coding RNA from Brassica rapa (field mustard), 1612 nucleotides. RefSeq lists it as uncharacterized. NCBI's taxonomy places the organism in Eukaryota, Viridiplantae, Streptophyta, Magnoliopsida, Brassicales, Brassicaceae. The record is from RefSeq and is a predicted model, not a curated record.
UAUCCAAGCAUAGGGUUCGUGUAUUUCGACAACAGUCUUACAAAUAAUAUAGAAUAACACAAUACAAGACUUCUUUAGUUCACACAUUUAUAUGUUGCCCUAUAGACAUAUGCGAUGAACUCUUGUUAAAAAACAUCUUUUAUAAAAUCUUGUAAAUCGUUGAGUUGUAUUAUCAACAAUAUCCUAAAACCCAUAUUUAUAAAGGGUUAUAAUUCCUUAAUAUACAAUGUUCACUAUCGAAAAAUCUCUCUCUUAGCAGGGACCAUUCAAAUGACAAGUCCAAAUUAACCGUAUUCUCUUUUUGGAUAACAGAAAGGAGAAACCCCUAAAAUUACUUGAAACCCAGAUUUAUAAAGGGUUUUAAGUUGUCAAAACUCAAUAUUGUUCACUAUGGAAAUUGUUUCUCUUAGAUCGACAUGUUCAAAUGAGAAGUCUAAAGCAAUUUUUUUUGAUUUUUUGAUAAGAGAAAGAACAAAAUCAAAGAUUUACUCGAAACAAACAAAAGAAUACAAGAAUUAGAGACAUACGAGUUGUGAAUCUUGAACAGGAAUCAACAUUUGAAGGCUUUGAAUUGCGAUUCUCUGUAAUCCGUUUUCGUCGCCGGUUGUGUGAGAGAGAGAUGGCGGAUCUCGACGGAGACGGCGGAUCUCGACGGUAAGUCUGAGAGAAGAUGGAUCUCAAAAAGAGAGAGGAAGAGUCGAUGAUUGAGGAGAAGAUAAGUCGGGCAUGGAAGUAAUGGAUUUACCGGCGAUGUUGCAAUACCGGAUCUCCAUCACACAUGGAGGCGCGUGUCGGCGUGUUGGACAAUGCAAACUUGCAGAUCCAUGCAAAAAGCAUAGGAUGAAGUGUGGAAAAGAGCUUCAGAUGUCUUGACGUGUGACUUCAAACACAUAGCUUGAAGGCGGUUAGGCGGUUUCAGAUUAGUAAAUUGGAUCUUGGCCUUUAGAUUUCUUUUUUGUCUGGCUUGUAGUUUUGAUGGAUAUUGUGCUUUAUGAACGUACUUGUAAUCUCGUUAGCCUAUAAUGGGGUUUUAAUGAUAUGACAAUUUGACAAAAAGAAAAAAUUAUGUGAAUGAGAAUAAUUUAACCCCCAAAAAAAUUAUCACCUAUAUCAAUUAUCAAUCAUUACGUAAUCACAUACAUAAAGAAUAUUAAUAUAAUCCAAAUGUAAUUUUAACUAAGCGAAUUAAACUGUUAACAUAACGAGAUAUAUCACGUAACAUGUGUAUGCAGUUAACAUUAUACUCAAAUUGUUAUUGUCAAAAUAGAGAAUCAGACGUCAGAAUUGGGUAACCUAGUUCCAAAAACCGACCUGUUAUAAAUAGAAAACCAAGCUGUUACAAAUAGGAGACCAACAACCCAUUCCAAUUUAAACUAAUCUGAUCAAAUCUAGUCCAUGUUUCAAUUGAUAUGGAUCAAUUCAAUUGGUCUAGGUCUAGGUCUAUCUUCUAUUUGAAAGUAUUAGUUUUUGAAUACUAUACUGUCGGAUUUAACUAUAUAACACAUGUUAAUACAUUUUCAUAUUGACCAUAUAGUUAUUUGAUCUAGAAUCUCUUAAUUAACCAAAAAUUUGCGACCAAUCAAAAUGAAAAUUCAAAGAUAAAUUUAUAAAA